CCUGCAGGCGUCCCGAGGGGCAGGAUCGUCUCCGGAGCCGACCGUGCCAGGGCUGGGCCACGGAAGGCGGAGCUGCAGCAUGUGGAGGCCCUUUGUGGACAGGUGCACGGGCCCAUCUCUCUCCGAGGCGCUACCUGCGGUUUACUGGACGUUUAUUAGAAGCCCACGCAAUAUCGUGAAGCACCUGCAGGCAAUAAAACCCUUUACAUGUGUGAGGCCUUGAGGAAAUUAACGGCUCCUCCCUGGGGAUGCAUAUUUCGUGAAGAUGUUUAUUACAGAUGAAGUGCUCCCGGGGUGGAACAUUAACAAGUUGUAGAGUGAUAAAAGGAUUUUUAUCCUUUUUCAGUGACAGAGGGUCGGCUGAGCGGAGUCAGGGUCCUUGGAUGGCUGGACCACUGGACAAGGGGAAUGGAGCCGACUGGAGCGGGUGCGGGGCCUGGAUGCUGGACAGAGAACGCGUGAGGACGGUCUGGGUUCGAAUUCCAGGCAC
This 490-nucleotide long non-coding RNA is filed under the name Equus asinus (donkey). RNAcentral's name for it is "lncRNA (ENSEASG00005037303.1)". The record is from RNAcentral. Lineage: Eukaryota; Metazoa; Chordata; Mammalia; Perissodactyla; Equidae.